RNAcentral lists this unclassified non-coding RNA (240 nucleotides) under soil metagenome. RNAcentral's name for it is "partial contains 5.8S ribosomal RNA, internal transcribed spacer 2, and large subunit ribosomal RNA". The record is from RNAcentral.
AACGAGGCCGACCUGCGGCUGAGUUACCUGCGGAAGGAUCAUUACAACAAGGUUCCCUGGCCCUCGAAGCUUCGGCGGAGGGGCGCUACAGCCUGACUUUAUACCCACCCUUUGCCUAUGUGUACCCCUAUUGCUUCCCUCGGCGGGUUCGCCCGCCGACAGGAACCAACUAAACCCUUUGCAUUAUACAUUUAACACUUCCGAUACAAAACUAAAUUAUUACAACUUUUAACAAUGGAU